GCCAGGUGUGGUGGCGCACACCUGUGAUUCCAGCUACUCGGGAGGCUGAGGUGGGAGGAUCACUUGAGCCCAGGAGGCUACAGUGAGCCAUGAUGGAGCCACUGUACUCCAACCUGGGCAACAGAGAGAGACCCUGUCUCAA
This is an unclassified non-coding RNA of Macaca fascicularis (crab-eating macaque), 142 nucleotides long. It matches the Rfam family "Metazoan signal recognition particle RNA". Rfam says of the family: The signal recognition particle (SRP) is a universally conserved ribonucleoprotein. It is involved in the co-translational targeting of proteins to membranes. The eukaryotic SRP consists of a 300-nucleotide 7S RNA and six proteins: SRPs 72, 68, 54, 19, 14, and 9. The record is from Ensembl. NCBI's taxonomy places the organism in Eukaryota, Metazoa, Chordata, Mammalia, Primates, Cercopithecidae.